GAGCUCGUAGGUGGUUUGUCGCGUCGUCUGUGAAAUUCCGGGGCUUAACUCCGGGCGUGCAGGCGAUACGGGCAUAACUUGAGUGCUGUAGGGGAGACUGGAAUUCCUGGUGUAGCGGUGAAAUGCGCAGAUAUCAGGAGGAACACCAAUGGCGAAGGCAGGUCUCUGGGCAGUAACUGACGCUGAGGAGCGAAAGCAUGGGUAGCGAACAGGAUUAGAUACCCUGGUAGUCCAUGCCGUAAACGGUGGGCGCUAGGUGUGGGGGUCUUCCACGACUUCUGUGCCGUAGCUAACGCAUUAAGCGCCCCGCCUGGGGAGUACGGCCGCAAGGCUAAAACUCAAAGGAAUUGACGGGGGCCCGCACAAGCGGCGGAGCAUGUGGAUUAAUUCGAUGCAACGCGAAGAACCUUACCUGGGCUUGACAUAUGCCGGAUCGGCGCAGAGAUGCGUUUUCCCUUGUGGUCGGUAUACAGGUGGUGCAUGGUUGUCGUCAGCUCGUGUCGUGAGAUGUUGGGUUAAGUCCCGCAACGAGCGCAACCCUUGUCUUGUGUUGCCAGCACGUUAUGGUGGGGACUCGCGAGAGACUGCCGGGGUUAACUCGGAGGAAGGUGGGGAUGACGUCAAAUCAUCAUGCCCCUUAUGUCCAGGGCUUCACACAUGCUACAAUGGUCGGUACAGUGGGUUGCUACACCGUGAGGUGGUGCUAAUCCCUUAAAGCCGGUCUCAGUUCGGAUUGGAGUCUGCAACUCGACUCCAUGAAGUCGGAGUCGCUAGUAAUCGCAGAUCAGCAACGCUGCGGUGAAUACGUUCCCGGGCCUUGUACACACCGCCCGUCACGUCAUGAAAGUUGGUAACACCCGAAGCCAGUGGCCCAAACUCGUUAGGGAGCUGUCGAAGGUGGGAUCGGCGAUUGGGACGAAGUCGUA
This 926-nucleotide ribosomal RNA is filed under the name Corynebacterium sp. Its description in RNAcentral is "bacterial SSU rRNA". It matches the Rfam family "Bacterial small subunit ribosomal RNA", at positions 565 to 1490 of the family's 1533-position model. The record is from RNAcentral. Lineage: Bacteria; Bacillati; Actinomycetota; Actinomycetes; Mycobacteriales; Corynebacteriaceae.